This 46-nucleotide non-coding RNA is filed under the name Schistosoma haematobium. Lineage: Eukaryota; Metazoa; Platyhelminthes; Trematoda; Strigeidida; Schistosomatidae. The record is from RNAcentral.
GCACUGCUAAGGAGUCCCGUAAUAAGACGAAACGGCCGUCCAGUGC